RNAcentral lists this long non-coding RNA (481 nucleotides) under Anser cygnoides (Swan goose). RNAcentral describes it as "lncRNA (ENSACDG00005014605.1)". The record is from RNAcentral. Lineage: Eukaryota; Metazoa; Chordata; Aves; Anseriformes; Anatidae.
UCAGGGGUGAGUGCCGGGACUGGAUUGCUCAGUAGCAGGGAUGUGCGUGCAGUGCCGGGCCGCGGCUGCGGGCGCCGCUGUUCACCACGGAGGAGAGGAAGGAGCGGAGCGCUGCAGCCAGCCCCGCCCGCUGCGGCCCGGCUCGCUCGCUCUCUGUGUCGGCGGCCGGGCGGUCUGCGGGCGGCCCCGCGGUGCGGAGCCGAGCUGCAGCGAGGCGGAGGGACCGGAACCGCGGACGGGAACCGAAGCGGGAGCGAGAGACUGAGCCAGAGUCGGAGGCGAAGAGUCGGGGCGGCGGCGGGGAGCUGUCGGCGGGCGUCCGGUGGCGGCAGGGCCGUGGCGGAGAUGUGCGCGGCGAGAGAAGGGCGCUGGGGCCGGAGGCAGCGAGCGCUGCUGUGCUGCGGGUUGGGGGCGGCGGGGGAGGCGGCGGGGGGGCAGCUGCGCCCCCCGGUGCCCGGGGGGCUCCCCCAGGGCCCUUUCG